Molecule: long non-coding RNA, 1305 nt
Organism: Mastomys coucha (southern multimammate mouse)
Lineage: Eukaryota; Metazoa; Chordata; Mammalia; Rodentia; Muridae
Exons: 4
Source: RefSeq, a predicted model, not a curated record
GGUGGCUUGGAGGGGUGGCAAGGUUUCACCCUAGUUGUGUUGUCUUGACCACCUCAGGCACACAAACGCUCGACCCAAACCUGAUUCCCUUAAAGGAGAAGAUGGAUCACAUCACUGCGGGCUGAGACGGAAUCUGCAUAACCGAGGAAAGCCUCGAACUAGGAAGAUGCCCAGUCAUGCACAUAGGAGAUUUAGCAUCAAAAUGGCUUCGACGGAGCAUGCUCAAACUGAACGUGAAGUGCUCUUGAAGGAAGGAGUUCAUAUCUGCUAGUUCAUCAAGUCUGAUCUGGGUAUCACUAUCAAGGGUUUCAGAGUUAGACUGAAGGAAGAUUUGUGCCACCUCAAGGAGAAAGGCAGGCCACACACACACGGACAGAAGAGAAGCUAUGUGGGCAGAAAUGCCACUGGGGGUGCCUGCGAGCCCGUUUUCUGAAUCUCAAACAUUCCAUUACUUUUAUAUUUAAAUUUAUCAUCAUCAUCAUCAUCAUCAUCAUCAUCUUUAAUCCACCGAGUCACAGUCUGUGGGAGCGAACUUCCUUUGCUGCUGCAUUGCCUGGCAGAGUUCGUCUUUUCUCAUGACUCCGGGACAAGACACCGGUAGUUUCGAGUUUGAUUUAUUUUUCUAGGAUGCUUUUUAUAUGGAUCCUAGGUGGUGUGCAUACAGUUAGAAUUUGGACACUGAUAUCAAUGAGGCCUUCUUUGCUGGCUCGUGCAGUGAAGGAAAGUACAGAGGAACCUGGUCACUGUCCCACGGCCCUGAGUUUGCCAUCACGAUUGGUCACUAUCCCACGAUCCAGAGCUCGCCAUCUGACUAUCGGUGUGGAAAUGGGGGCUUGGGAAAGCAAGCUCUUUGCUCCGGCUGUUAGCUGUUAUCCGUGUGACGUUGGUUCCAAACGUUAGGUUCCCAAGUUUAACUUGAAUUCUUUUCCUAGCACCAGAGCUGCAGCCAAAAAUAAUCCCUUUUCUUGGAAAAAGGAUGCCUGCUUCUAGACUCUCCCAGGCACUAUGAGGACCAAGAUAGCAGUAUUCGCACCCCAUCUCCAACGUGAGACCAGGCCCUUUCAGCAGCUUGUAAAGGAGACCCACAUAAAAAUAGCUGAGCCUCUCGUCUCCCUCACAUUCUCUAACUCAACCGUGCACUUUCAUUGUUAAGAAAACUCAAGUGUCGUAAAAACAAUCUGGCAAGAAAAUAAUCUUGAGAUCUGGUUUGGAAUGGAAAGGCCAAAUCUCAUUACCCCCAAAGCCUCUGGGGCAUUCACCUAGCAGCAGUCUCUGCUUCCCGACUCACUUGAUUCAAAUGUUCUU